UACGUAGGGUGCAAGCGUUGUCCGGAAUUAUUGGGCGUAAAGAGCUCGUAGGCGGUCUGUCGCGUCUGCUGUGAAAACCUAGGGCUUAACUCUGGGCGUGCAGUGGGUACGGGCAGACUAGAGUGUGGUAGGGGAGACUGGAAUUCCUGGUGUAGCGGUGGAAUGCGCAGAUAUCAGGAGGAACACCGAUGGCGAAGGCAGGUCUCUGGGCCACUACUGACGCUGAGAAGCGAAAGCAUGGGGGAGCGAACAGG
Molecule: ribosomal RNA, 254 nt
Filed under: uncultured bacterium
Lineage: Bacteria
Description: partial 16S ribosomal RNA
Rfam family: Bacterial small subunit ribosomal RNA
Source: RNAcentral